Non-coding RNA from Citrus sinensis (sweet orange), 156 nucleotides. The record is from Rfam. Lineage: Eukaryota; Viridiplantae; Streptophyta; Magnoliopsida; Sapindales; Rutaceae.
GACUCUCGGCAACGGAUAUCUCAGCUCUCGCAUCGAUGAAGAACGUAGCGAAAUGCGAUACUUGGUGUGAAUUGCAGAAUCCCGUGAACCAUCGAGUCUUUGAACGCAAGUUGUGCCCCAAGCCAUUAGGCCGAGGGCACGUCUGCCUGGGUGUCA